GGGUCGGUGCCCGAGCGGUCAAUGGGAGCUGACUGUAAAUCAGCCGGCUUACGCCUACGGAGGUUCAAAUCCUCCCCGGCCCACUA
RNAcentral lists this transfer RNA (86 nucleotides) under uncultured Chloroflexota bacterium. Its description in RNAcentral is "uncultured Chloroflexi bacterium tRNA-Tyr-GTA". It matches the Rfam family "tRNA". From Rfam's summary of the family: Transfer RNA (tRNA) molecules are approximately 80 nucleotides in length. Lineage: Bacteria; Bacillati; Chloroflexota. The record is from RNAcentral.